RNAcentral lists this unclassified non-coding RNA (249 nucleotides) under uncultured fungus. RNAcentral describes it as "partial contains 5.8S ribosomal RNA, internal transcribed spacer 2, and large subunit ribosomal RNA". The stretch from base 1 to 52 matches the Rfam family "5.8S ribosomal RNA", at positions 103 to 154 of the family's 154-position model. The record is from RNAcentral. Lineage: Eukaryota; Fungi.
AACGCACAUUGCGCCCCCUGGUAUUCCGGGGGGCAUGUCUGUUUGAGCGUCAGUACCCACUCCAGGCGUCCGCUUUUUGCUGGACGUCCGGGUCUUGAGGCACCCUGGUGCCUCCAACGUAGCACGCUUGCGAACCCCCACCGAUCGACGACGUAGUAAAUCGCCUCGUCAGCCGAGAGGGAUGGGCCGCCUGAACAUCAAACCUAGUAGUUUGACCUCAGAUCAGACAAGGAUACCCGCUGAACUUAA